UCCUCGUAUAAUUUUCUUCUGAUUGAAAAUUGCAAAAAAUCUAAUCUGUCACAGAAAUCCUUAAGACUCAACCAUGGCUACCCAAUUGAGCCAGAAAAAGACAGCUUGUGUGAUCGGUGGCACUGGUUUUGUUGCUUCAUUGCUGGUGAAGUUGUUGCUUGAGAAGGGUUAUGCUGUGAAUACUACAGUCAGGGACCCAGGUAAUCAGAAGAAGACCUCUCAUCUCCUAGCACUGAAAAAAUUGGGGGAGCUAAACAUAUUUGGAGCUGAUUUGACCAAUGAAGAAAGUUUUGAUGCUGCCGUAGCAGGUUGUGACUUUGUCUUCCAUGUUGCAACCCCUGUGAAUUUUGCUUCUCAAGAUCCAGAGAAUGACAUGAUCAAGCCAGCAGUCCAAGGAGUUCAUAAUGUUUUGAAAGCUUGUGCGAAAGCUAAAACAGUGAAAAGGGUCAUCCUGACAUCCUCUGCUGCUGCUGUAACAAUAAAUAAGCUCAGUGGUACAGGUUUAGUCAUGGAUGAGAAAAACUGGACUGAUACCGAGUUCUUGACUUCUGAGAAGCCACCCACUUGGGGGUACCCUCUUUCCAAGACUUUAGCUGAGAAGGCAGCUUGGAAGUUUGCUCAAGAAAAUAACAUUGAUCUCAUUUCUGUUAUCCCUACACUCAUGACUGGUCCUUCUCUGACAUUGGAUAUUCCCAGCAGUGUAAACCUGGCCACAUCACUGAUCACAGGAAAUGAGUUCCUCAUAAAUGCUUUGAAAGGCAUGCAAAUGCUGUCAGGCUCAGUAUCAAUAACGCAUGUGGAGGAUGUCUGUCGCGCCCAUAUAUUUUUAGCUGAGAAAGAAUCAUCUUCUGGUCGAUAUAUAUGUUCCUGCGUGAAUACCAGUGUUCCUGAGCUUGCCAAAUUCCUCAAGGACAGAUAUCCUCAGUACGAAGUCCCAACUGAGUUUGGAGAUUUCCCUUCCAAGGCCAAGUUAAUCAUCUCAUCAGAGAAGCUAAUCAGUGAGGGGUUCAGUUUCAAGUAUGGGAUUGAAGAGAUCUAUGACCAAACUGUAGAGUAUCUGAAGGCCAAAGGGACGCUGAAUUGAAGUGUUUGUGUUUGUGUUCAUGUAUCAAUCCUCAGUGACAGGACAGCGAUUUUAACCUUUACAUACGUUGCUGUUGUACUAUAAAUGCUCUGUUGAAAAAAUA
RNAcentral lists this unclassified non-coding RNA (1187 nucleotides) under Hevea brasiliensis (rubber tree). Lineage: Eukaryota; Viridiplantae; Streptophyta; Magnoliopsida; Malpighiales; Euphorbiaceae. The record is from RNAcentral.